RNAcentral lists this transfer RNA (66 nucleotides) under uncultured Desulfovibrio sp. It matches the Rfam family "tRNA", at positions 6 to 65 of the family's 71-position model. From Rfam's summary of the family: Transfer RNA (tRNA) molecules are approximately 80 nucleotides in length. Their secondary structure includes four short double-helical elements and three loops (D, anti-codon, and T loops). The record is from RNAcentral. Lineage: Bacteria; Pseudomonadati; Thermodesulfobacteriota; Desulfovibrionia; Desulfovibrionales; Desulfovibrionaceae.
CCGUAGCUCAGUUGGAUAGAGCGUUGGCCUCCGGAGUCAAAGGCCGAGAGUUCGAAUCUCUCCGAG